This 2871-nucleotide long non-coding RNA is filed under the name Citrus x clementina. Its description in RNAcentral is "Citrus clementina (C. clementina) long non-coding RNA (CCLE_LNC000741)". Lineage: Eukaryota; Viridiplantae; Streptophyta; Magnoliopsida; Sapindales; Rutaceae. The record is from RNAcentral.
GAUGAGAUGAUGAUCGGAGGGGAAUUAGGUUGGGUGAGACAUCUGGCCUCUUGUGAUCACCUCGUUGCUUCCUUGUCGUCUGAUCUCGCUCGCAUUCCAACUCCCGAUACACCCUGCAACAUGUUAGCCAAACCCUUUAAACACGUCAAUUUAUAUAAUUUAUUUUUGCUUGAUUUCAUUUCAUGGAAAUUCGAAAAAUUCAUCAUAUAAUUAUAAUAUAGAAAAAGAGGGAGGGAAAAUAUAAACUGGGUAUAUUUAUUGUCAAAUCUUGAGUCCAACUAAUGUGUCAUAACUAUUGGUUGCCGCAUGUAAGUUAUUUAUUUUACAACACAAGCAAUGAGUAACGCAGUGAUGAUGCUCACGUAACCUGUGGAGUGAUUUGCAUGUAUGAAGGUGCAAACACCCGAGGGGAAACUGGCUAUGUUUGUGUUGCAAGGAAGUGCUUUGCAGCCGUUAUGUGAACAAGCACAUGCUUCGGCAUUACCGGGAAAAAAACCAUUCUGUAGCAUUAGACUAUAGGUAUGACCAUGAACUUUGAUCGUUGUUGUAUUUUCCCAUGUUUAUCUCUCGUUGAUUAUGUUUGAAUUGGAAGGGUGUUCUUAACUUUUAUAUAUUGUGAUUUAUAAAUACCUUGUUUUUGGCUAAGCAGUGACCUGUCAGUUUGGUGUUUCGCCUGCCAUGCAUAUUUAAAUGCUCAACCGAUUCUGCAACUGCGACCUGUUCAUGAGACAUCUUACGUUCUGAAAUUUGGUCGAGCCCUCCCUUUUAAUACGGGACAGCAUCCUAAGGUUAAAGAGGAUGAUGAGAUGAUGCUCGGAGCAGAAUCGGGUUCGGUGAGACAUCUGACCUCUUGUGAUCACCUCGUUGCUUCCUUGUCGACUGAUCUUGCUCGCAUACCAAAUCCCGAUACACCCUGCAACAGGUUAGCCAAACCCUUUAAACACGGCAAUUUAAAUAAUUCAUCUUUGCUUGAUUUCAUUUCAUUGAAAUUGGAGAAAUUCAUCAUGCAAUUAUAAUAUAGAAAAAAGUGGGGGAAAAUGGAAACUUGAUAUAUUUAUUGUCAAAUCUUGAGUCCAACUAAUGUGUGAUCAGUAUUGGUUGCCGCAUGUAAGUUAUUCAUUUUACAACACUAGCAAUGAGUAACACAAUGAAGAUGCUCGCGUAACCUGCGGAGUGAUUUGCAUGUAUGAAGGUGCCAACACCCGAGGGGAAACUGGCUAUGUUUGUGUUGCAAGGAAGUGCUUUGCAGCCGUUAUGUGAACAAGCACAUGCUUCAGCAUUACCAGGAAACAAACCAUUCUGUAGCAUUAGGCUAUAGGUAUGACCAUGAACUUUGAUCGUUGUUGUAUUUUCCCAUGUGUAUGUCUCAUUGAUUCUGUUUGAAUUGGAAGGGUAUUCUUAACUAUUAUAUAUUGUGAUUUAUAAACACCUUGUUUUUGGCUAAGCAGUGACCUGUCAGUUUGGUGUUUCGCCUGCCAUGCAUAUUUAAAUGCUCAAGCGAUUCUGCAACUGCGACCUGUUCAUGAGACGUCUUACGUUCUGAAAUUUGGUGAAACCCUCCCUUUUAAUACGGGACAGCAUCCUGAGGUUAAAGAGGACGACGAGAUGAUGCUCGGAGCAGAAUCGGGUUGGGUGAGACAUCUGACCUCUUGUGAUCACCUCGUUGCUUCCUUGUCGACUGAUCUCGCUCGCAUACCAAAUCCCGAUACACCCUGCAACAGGUAAGCCCUUUAAACACGUCAAUUUUAAUAUUUUAUUUUUGCUUGAUUUCAUUUUCAUGCAAAUUCGAGAAAUUCAUCGUAUAAUUAUAAUAUAUAAUUAUAAUAUAGAAAAAGAGGGAGGGAAAAUAUAAACUGGGUAUAUUUAUUGUCAAAUCUUGAGUCCAACUAAUGUGUCAUAACUAUUGGUUGCCGCAUGUAAGUUAUUUAUUUUACAACACAAGCAAUGAGUAACGCAGUGAUGAUGCUCACGUAACCUGUGGAGUGAUUUGCAUGUAUGAAGGUGCCAACACCCGAGGGGAAACUGGCUAUGUUUGUGUUGCAAGGAAGUGCUUUGCAGCCGUUAUGUGAACAAGCACAUGCUUCGGCAUUACCGGGAAAAAAACCAUUCUGUAGCAUUAGGCUAUAGGUAUGACCAUGAACUUUGAUCAUUGUUGUAUUUUCCCAUGUUUAUCUCUCGUUGAUUAUGUUUGAAUUGGAAGGGUGUUCUUAACUUUUAUAUAUUGUGAUUUAUAAAUACCUUAUUUUUGGCUAAGCAGUGACCUGUCAGUUUGGUGUUUCGCCUGCGAUGCAUAUUUAAAUGCUCAACCGAUUCUGCAACUGCGACCUGUUCAUGAGACAUCUUACGUUCUGAAAUUUGGUCGGGCCCUCCCUUUUAAUACGGGACAGCAUCCUAAGGUUAAAGAGGACGAUGAGAUGAUGUUCGGAGCGGAAUCGGGUUGGGUGAGACAUCUGACCUCUUGUGAUCACCUCAUUGCUUCCUUGUCGUCUGAUCUUGCUCGCAUACCAAAUCCCGAUACACCCUGCAACAGGUUAGCCAAACCCUUUAAACACGGCAAUUUAAAUAAUUCAUCUUUGCUUGAUUUCAUUUCAUUGAAAUUGGAGAAAUUCAUCAUGCAAUUAUAAUAUAGAAAAAAGGGGGGGAAAAUGGAAACUUGAUAUAUUUAUUGUCAAAUCUUGAGUCCAACUAAUGUGUGAUCAGUAUUGGUUGCCGCAUGUAAGUUAUUCAUUUUACAACACUAGCAAUGAGUAACACAAUGAAGAUGCUCGCGUAACCUGCGGAGUGAUUUGCAUGUAUGAAGGUGCCAACACCCGAGGGGAAACUGGCUAUGUUUGUGUUGCAAGGAAGUGCUUUGCAGCCGUUAUGUGAACA